GACGAACGCUGGCGGCGUGCUUAACACAUGCAAGUCGAGCGGUAAGGCCCUUUCGGGGGUACACGAGCGGCGAACGGGUGAGUAACACGUGGGUGACCUGCCCACAGCUCUGGGAUAAGCCUGGGAAACCGGGUCUAAUACUGGAUAUGACUCCAUGACGCAUGUUGUGGGGUGGAAAGCCUUGUGCGGCUGAGGAUGGGCCCGCGGCCUAUCAGCUUGUUGGUGGGGUGANGGGCCUACCAAGGCGACGACGGGUAGCCGGCCUGAGAGGGCGACCGGCCACACUGGGACUGAGACACGGCCCAGACUCCUACGGGAGGCAGCAGUGGGGAAUCUUGCGCAAUGGGCGAAAGCCUGACGCAGCGACGCCGCGUG
This 375-nucleotide ribosomal RNA is filed under the name uncultured bacterium. RNAcentral's name for it is "bacterial SSU rRNA". It matches the Rfam family "Bacterial small subunit ribosomal RNA", at positions 28 to 403 of the family's 1533-position model. The record is from RNAcentral.